Molecule: ribosomal RNA, 431 nt
Filed under: uncultured bacterium
Lineage: Bacteria
Description: partial 16S ribosomal RNA
Rfam family: Bacterial small subunit ribosomal RNA
Source: RNAcentral
ACGAACGCUGGCGGCAUGCCUAACACAUGCAAGUCGAACGAACCCUUCGGGGUUAGUGGCGCACGGGUGCGUAACGCGUGGGAAUCUGCCCUUUGCUUCGGAAUAACUCAGGGAAACUUGUGCUAAUACCGGAUGAUGUCUUCGGACCAAAGAUUUAUCGGCAAGGGAUGAGCCCGCGUAGGAUUAGGUAGUUGGUGGGGUAAAGGCCUACCAAGCCGACGAUCCUUAGCUGGUCUGAGAGGAUGAUCAGCCACACUGGGACUGAGACACGGCCCAGACUCCUCCGGGGGGCGGCAGUGGGGAAAAUUGGACAAGGGGCCCAAGCCUGACCCAGCAAUGCCGGGUGGGUGAUGAAGGCCCUCGGGUCGUAAAGCCCUUUUACCGGGGAUGAAAAUGCCGGUCCCUGGGAAAAAAGCCCCGCCUAACCCCUU